AGUCUAGUUUGGUCUUAUGCAGGUUUCCCAUUUGUCAGACCUGAGUCAGUGAUCUCUCACGAGCUCGGGUCAGCUGAAUCUGUGAGUUUUCCCAUCACCGUCUUGAUUCCUUUGUUCAUACUAUUGCUCCUCCCUUACUUUGCUUGUACUCCAGGAGCUUGGCCCAAUGCACAGGAACACCAUGAACCUGCUGUAUGCUGUUCUGCAGACAUAGUGUUGCCCAAGGCAGACAUGGUAUCUGCCUUCAUGGGACUUACAGUUGGAAGGAAGGACUGAUACCAUUUGUGACCAGCACUGAAAAUGUUUGUUCAAGAGUUUUCUCAUAGAGGCACCGGUUGACAUGCCAACAUUGAUUGGGGAAAUCUCACAAGGUUCUACCUCUAGAUGAAGAUCACUGUCUGCUGAGAGGGAUAAUCAGUGUUCUUCAGGACAAGCUCCCUGACAAACUAUCUAAUCCUAAGUGG
RNAcentral lists this long non-coding RNA (464 nucleotides) under Cricetulus griseus (Chinese hamster). RNAcentral describes it as "lncRNA (ENSCGRG00015029994.1)". Lineage: Eukaryota; Metazoa; Chordata; Mammalia; Rodentia; Cricetidae. The record is from RNAcentral.